Molecule: ribosomal RNA, 497 nt
Filed under: uncultured bacterium
Lineage: Bacteria
Description: partial 16S ribosomal RNA
Rfam family: Bacterial small subunit ribosomal RNA
Source: RNAcentral
GAUGAACGCUGGCGGCGUGCCUAAUACAUGCAAGUCGAGCGAACAGACGAGGAGCUUGCUCCUCUGACGUUAGCGGCGGACGGGUGAGUAACACGUGGAUAACCUACCUAUAAGACUGGGAUAACUUCGGGAAACCGGAGCUAAUACCGGAUAAUAUAUUGAACCGCAUGGUUCAAUAGUGAAAGACGGUUUUGCUGUCACUUAUAGAUGGAUCCGCGCCGCAUUAGCUAGUUGGUAAGGUAACGGCUUACCAAGGCGACGAUGCGUAGCCGACCUGAGAGGGUGAUCGGCCACACUGGAACUGAGACACGGUCCAGACUCCUACGGGAGGCCGCAGUAGGGAAUCUUCCGCAAUGGGCGAAAGCCUGACGGAGCAACGCCGCGUGAGUGAUGAAGGUCUUCGGAUCGUAAAACUCUGUUAUUAGGGAAGAACAAAUGUGUAAGUAACUAUGCACGUCUUGACGGUACCUAAUCAGAAAGCCACGGCUAACUACGUG